Molecule: long non-coding RNA, 1580 nt
Organism: Frankliniella occidentalis (western flower thrips)
Lineage: Eukaryota; Metazoa; Arthropoda; Insecta; Thysanoptera; Thripidae
Exons: 3
Source: RefSeq, a predicted model, not a curated record
UAUCCCGCGCCCUUAUGGAAACGUAAACAACCAGUAAUUAUAAUAGGUGUCACGAUCGGCGUUUCUGCCAAAUACCGAUAAUACUUACUCAUAUAAUUGAUCAUCAUAGGAUUUUAACCAGAAUUUUAGAGUGGACAUCGCCGCUUUUCGAUAUUAAUCGCAAGGUAUAGUGCUUGAUUGUUUCCGGUCCGGAAUAUUGAAUUGUUCUAUUCCGGUUGUUGUUGUAGGAGGUUAGUGUUCUCCUGUGACUCAAUGUUAACACGCACAAUUAAGUUGUAAGUUAUUUUUUGAGACCGAGUAAAUGAUGCCCGUGAUGUAAAUAACUUGGCUCACUGUCAGCUUUGUUGAAAAGGUGUUGAAUGGGUAGACUCCUCCAAUCCAUGCAGUAUGUUAAAUACUGUUGUAGGUCACUUAUGCAAAUGGGUGAACUGCCAGUGUUUUAUCACAUAUAUUUUACUCUAUAUUAUUCUCGUGGAACAGAAAACUUUAUUGCUUUCUAGUUGGGGUGCAAACCAAGUAGUACUAUUUGCGUAAUCCUCCAAACAAUCAAUCAAUGUGCGUUGCAGAUAAUUUGCAGCUGCCCCUUCGUACUUAAUGCUUAGUCCAGUGCCAAAAUUAGUUAUUUGAAAGACCAUGGUCAUUUAGAGACGCAUGGGGAGAGAGGCAUUUAAAAGUGUAUUGUGUGAGUAAAUUAUAUGUAACUAAUAGUCGAUGAGCGCUAAAAGUACCGUUUAAUAUGAUUGCAGGAUCUCGGACCAGAAAUGUUCUUGACAUGAGCAUAGAAGUCCAUGGAGUCAGUUUUACCUGAAAGUACAGGAAGAUCGGCCUGGAGGUGUUUCUGUCCUGGACAUCAGCCGUGCAGCCCAUGGAAUCAUCAGAUAUAAGUUGAGUUGGCGUCACAGUGUUAACCGUUGGGCCAGUAAUUUUUUGUUACCCCCCUGUAAAUUCAUUCACCACCCACAUUGUGGAGGGGUCUAGCGGAGCCGUUCCGCUCAACGCUGUGGAGUCAGCGGACCCCUUGCAUGGGGACAAUACGUGCAACGCGUGACCUCACUGCGUCAAUGAGGGGGCUGGACGUGUCGCCCUAAGCCGUCCAAAAAACCUCCCCCCCCCCCUUCCUCCCGGCUGCGGCUGCUGUGGAGGUAAUAGCGGGGUGCCGCCGCUACCGCCGUGACGUCACGGGCGUCUUGGGCGCUGCUGUGGGGGCAGUGGGGGUAGUAGUAGUAAAUCUACUGCUGCCUCUACGGCUCCGUGACAGCUUCAUCCGAGAUGCCCGUGACGUCACUGCUGUAGUGGUGGCAGUCUGCUACUACAUGCACAGUUACCACAGCUUCUAGCUAACUGUGUAUGAAAUCAAGUAAAAUGUCAGAAGUAGUCAUUUUUUAAAUUCUUUAUUAUUUCAAAUCAUUUACAUUAUAAGAGUAAGUCUUCCUCUAGUAGCCGGCUUCUUUCUGCUGGUUGCUGGUGACUUGAGGUGGUCAGCAUCAAGUCCAGGCACAUCCCUUUGGACAAGAAGCAGCAUCACUUCCUAUUUUGCUACGACUGUACCAUACAAAUGAAAUAAAUAGCAGCAUUACUGU